This 1024-nucleotide ribosomal RNA is filed under the name Salmonella enterica. RNAcentral describes it as "partial 23S ribosomal RNA". It matches the Rfam family "Bacterial large subunit ribosomal RNA", at positions 711 to 1732 of the family's 2925-position model. Lineage: Bacteria; Pseudomonadati; Pseudomonadota; Gammaproteobacteria; Enterobacterales; Enterobacteriaceae. The record is from RNAcentral.
AGACCCGAAACCCGGUGAUCUAGCCAUGGGCAGGUUGAAGGUUGGGUAACACUAACUGGAGGACCGAACCGACUAAUGUUGAAAAAUUAGCGGAUGACCUGUGGCUGGGGGUGAAAGGCCAAUCAAACCGGGAGAUAGCUGGUUCUCCCCGAAAGCUAUUUAGGUAGCGCCUCGUGAAUUCAUCUCCGGGGGUAGAGCACUGUUUCGGCUAGGGGGCCAUCCCGGCUUACCAACCCGAUGCAAACUGCGAAUACCGGAGAAUGUUAUCACGGGAGACACACGGCGGGUGCUAACGUCCGUCGUGAAGAGGGAAACAACCCAGACCGCCAGCUAAGGUCCCAAAGUCAUGGUUAAGUGGGAAACGAUGUGGGAAGGCCCAGACAGCCAGGAUGUUGGCUUAGAAGCAGCCAUCAUUUAAAGAAAGCGUAAUAGCUCACUGGUCGAGUCGGCCUGCGCGGAAGAUGUAACGGGGCUAAACCAUGCACCGAAGCUGCGGCAGCGACGCUGAUGCGUUGUUGGGUAGGGGAGCGUUCUGUAAGCCUGCGAAGGUGGCCUGUGAGGGUUGCUGGAGGUAUCAGAAGUGCGAAUGCUGACAUAAGUAACGAUAAAGCGGGUGAAAAGCCCGCUCGCCGGAAGACCAAGGGUUCCUGUCCAACGUUAAUCGGGGCAGGGUGAGUCGACCCCUAAGGCGAGGCCGAAAGGCGUAGUCGAUGGGAAACGGGUUAAUAUUCCCGUACUUGGUGUUACUGCGAAGGGGGGACGGAGAAGGCUAUGUUGGCCGGGCGACGGUUGUCCCGGUUUAAGCGUGUAGGUGUGUGUUCCAGGUAAAUCCGGUUCACUUUAACACUGAGGCGUGACGACGAGGCACUACGGUGCUGAAGCAACAAAUGCCCUGCUUCCAGGAAAAGCCUCUAAGCAUCAGGUAACAUCAAAUCGUACCCCAAACCGACACAGGUGGUCAGGUAGAGAAUACCAAGGCGCUUGAGAGAACUCGGGUGAAGGAACUAGGCAAAAUGGUGCCGUA